Molecule: ribosomal RNA, 254 nt
Filed under: uncultured bacterium
Lineage: Bacteria
Description: partial 16S ribosomal RNA
Rfam family: Bacterial small subunit ribosomal RNA
Source: RNAcentral
CACGUAGGGUGCGAGCGUUGUCCGGAAUUAUUGGGCGUAAAGAGCUCGUAGGCGGUGUGUCGCGUCGGCCGUGAAAACCUGCAGCUUAACUGUGGGCUUGCGGUCGAUACGGGCAUCACUGGAGUUCGAGAGGGGAGACUGGAAUUCCUGGUGUAGCGGUGAAAUGCGCAGAUAUCAGGAGGAACACCGGUGGCGAAGGCGGGUCUCUGGGCCGAUACUGACGCUGAGGAGCGAAAGCGUGGGGAGCGAACAGG